UACAGAGGGGGCAAGCGUUGUUCGGAAUUACUGGGCGUAAAGGGCGCGUAGGCGGCCCGCUAAGUCGAACGUGAAAUCCCCGGGCUCAACCCGGGAACUGCGUCCGAUACUGGUGGGCUUGAAUCCGGGAGAGGGAUGCGGAAUUCCAGGUGUAGCGGUGAAAUGCGUAGAUAUCUGGAGGAACACCAAAGGCGAAGGCAGCGUCCUGGGAAGCAUCUGACGCUCAGGUGCGAAAGCUAGGGGAGCGAACGGG
Molecule: ribosomal RNA, 253 nt
Filed under: uncultured bacterium
Lineage: Bacteria
Description: partial 16S ribosomal RNA
Rfam family: Bacterial small subunit ribosomal RNA
Source: RNAcentral